Sorghum bicolor (sorghum) is the source of this 3552-nucleotide long non-coding RNA. RefSeq lists it as uncharacterized. NCBI's taxonomy places the organism in Eukaryota, Viridiplantae, Streptophyta, Magnoliopsida, Poales, Poaceae. The transcript is spliced from 8 exons. The record is from RefSeq and is a predicted model, not a curated record.
ACAUGCGGAGAUUUCUAGAGCUCUCAAUAAGUCAAAAUACAAUAAGUUUGCUUCAGUUAAUAAAUACUAUUUCCUUAUCUCCUUAACCUGUUGAGACCUCAGUAGUAUAUAAGUAUUCAUGAUUAAUCUACUUCCGUUCUCUAUUGACAGAAUUCUGCAAAAGAGAAGAAGAGUAAAAAGAGCCAUAAUAGUAACAAUACCAUCAAUAUUUUGCCCCAAAGCUUUUUGCAGCAAAAAUGUGAUCAUGACCAAGAUGUCCAAGAAGAGAUGCUUAAUAAUACAAAAAAAAUAAUGGGCUUCCAUUAUGUAAAUAUGAAGAGACAUCACAUGAUAGCAAAUAUAAAAAAUCAGUGUCAAUUGUGGCUGUCCCAGAAGGUAUUUGAAUUGUUUUUCCUUUUUUACAUGUGCCAUUUCCCAAUUCUUUAUAUAUUUUUCAUGUGCUAUGUUUGCCAUCUUCCUCACACAACUUUUUUUUACAGAUUACGUUUGUAACUAGGCUAAUCUUAACAUUAUUGAGCCUAUUAAGAAAAUCUCUUAUAAACCUAGAAAGGAACAAGUUGUGCUCAUCGAUGAUGCUUUCAUAGACACGAUGGACAUGGAGUGCCUUUUUCAGCCGAAUGAAUUUUUAAAUGAUCAGGUCAUAAAUGAAAACAUUAUGUUAUUAAGAGCUCAAGAUUAUCUGAAGUUGAGGGCUUAUGGAAAGGUCCUCCUCGAGAAUUCUCUUAUCUCUAGUAUCCUCAAGAGGGAUUGUGAUGAUAAAAUUAAAAUGGAGGAUCUAUAUCCCACACAUGACAAGAAUGAAAUUAGAACCAUUGAGAAAAGGGUUUUAUCAUACCUAGACCAUGACAUGACACUCAAGGUGAGGUGAUUGUGAGGAGGUUGUUGCUGGUGGCACGCUAACAGCACCUUGAAGCAGACCGACACCAGGGUGGCGGUGAGGGAUGAAUGUUGCGGGCAAGAGAGAGGUGAUGAAGUUGCACUUUGUUUACAUAGAUCAUUUGAAAAAUAAGGUCGUACGCAUCCGAAUUGCCCAGCAUAGUCCUUUGAAAACCAUUUCUGCUUAUGUGGAAGGCAAAGUGUAUCUCUAUUGCUACAUGUCCAAAUAAAAUAUUUCCUAUGCUGAAGAAUGAUGAUUACAAUUUUUUUCCUCAGCGAUGCAUGGGCAAAAAUACACCUGACGUCUCCGUUUAUUUUUCACAUAUCGGUGUCAAACAUAAAGACUAUCAAAAAGAAACAAAAAUAUGGUGUCACAAAAGCAAAAAUAUUGAUUGGGUAGGAUAGAAUGAAAUAAGAAUUAUUGAUCAUAAAUUUAUAACAUUAUUUUAUACCAUGGGUAUUACCUAAUCUAUUUCUAUCUAUAUCUAUACCUAUACCUAUAUCUAUAUCUAUAUCUAUAUCUAUAUCUAUAUCUAUAUCUAUAUCUAUAUCUAUCUGCAACUAAAAAAUUUACAUAGCAAUCGUCCCCCGACUCCAGUCGCUUCAUCCCCGAUACCUUUCUCCUGGCUUCCCAUCCGCCCAUCUCCGUCUCCGGUGCGGCCAUCGUCGCUCCCAGCGACUCCCCUCACACCCACGACGCCGCAACCCAUCGCCUGUACCCUAGCACCACCCACAGCUGGCCUCCCCUCCCGCCGCCGUGGAGAAAUUCCUCCGCCUCCCGGAGCUGCUCCGCUGCCCCGAUGCCGCUAGACGCGCUGCCGCAGGCUCUGGUGCCACAUCCACCGCAUCCCCAUCGCGGGACAGGACAAGAGAGGUCGGCUUCCAGCGGCAUCCUCCAUGCCGGCCAGCGAGCUCGCCUCCUGAUUCAACACGGCAAGGUGCGGAUCCAGUAGCAUGGAGCCCUGCCCCGGCGCGCUUGCGCGGCUUUGGCAUGUGCGGCUCCGGCAGCGCGCGGCACUGCCCCGGUCACCUGCUCCAGCCCUGCCUCACCUGACCGAGCCUUCGAGGAAGUCUAGCUAACCUGUUAAUCUGUUACUCUAUAAACGCUGAGCGGACCUCCACGGAGACGGCGGCAGCAUCCAGAGCCUCGUCUUUGUUGGCCCUUUGUCUGCCGAGUGCUGGUGAGGUAUAUAUAUUCCAUCUCUUCUCUCUUCCUGAUGUGUGAAACUGAAUCUUCUCCCUAAAGUGGAUUCGUGCUCUCAAGGUUGUCUCACGUAGAUUUAGAUCAGGUUGCAAUGAUUAAGUCAAUUAUUUAAUCUAUCCGCUGAAACUGGAAUAGCUAGCGGGAGGAGGAGGAAAAAGCAGUUGCAGGCCACAACACUGGUUUAGGACGAUGCCUUGCUGUCUACUAAGCAGGAUAUCCAGGAUGCCAUCCUCAUUCAUGGCCCCAGCAAUAAGCAACUGCGAGUGCGAGGAGUUAUCAGUCCCCAAUAUAUUCUUGUUGGCAUUGACAAAUCAGGCGGCCGAAUUGGUCUGCUAUCGUCGAAGUUUAUGCUUCAGGUUAUCAGCGUGCUUCACAUCGUUCAUCUAAAAUUCUGCAAAACAGAAGAAGAGGAAAAAGAGCCACAAUAGUAACAGUACCACAAAUAUUUUGCCCUAAAGCUUUUUGCAGCAAAAAUGUGAUCGUGACCAAGAUGUCCAAGAAGAGAUGCUUAAUAAUAAUAAUAAUAAUAAUAAGAUAAUGAGCUUCCAUUGUGUGAAUAUGAAGAGACAUCACAGGAUAGCAAAUAUGAAAAAUUAGUGUGAAUUGUGGCUGUCCCAGAAGGUAUUUGAAUUGUUUUUUCUUUUUUACAUGUGCCAUUUUCCAAUUCUUUAUAUAUUUUUCAUGUGCUAUGUUUGCCAUCUUCCUCACACAACUUUUGUUAUAGAUUACGUUUGCAGCCAAGCUAAUCUUAACAUUAUUGAGCCUAUUAAGAAAAUCCCUUAUGAACCUAGAAAGGAACAAGUUGUGCUCAUCAAUGAUGCUUUCAUAGACAGGACGAACAUGGAAUGCCUUUUUCAGCCGAAUGAAUUUUUAAAUGAUUAGGUCAUAGCAUUUUUAAAUGACCAGUUCAUAGCAUUGCUUCUAUUACUUCUAAAAUAUGAAAUAUUUAUUCCCAAAUAUUUUACGGUUCCUCUAACCUUACUUGUGCAGGUCAUAAAUGCAUACAUUAUGUUAUUAAGGGCUCAAGAUCAUCUGAAGUUGAGGGCUUGUGGAAAAGUCCUCCUCAAGAAUUCUCUUAUCUCCAGUAUCCUCAAGAGGGAUGGUGAUGAUAAAAUUAAAAUUGUAGACCUAUAUCCCACACAUGACAAGAAUGAAAUUAGAACCAUUGAGAAAUGGGUUUUAUCGUACCUGGACCAUGACAUGACACUUAAGGUGAGGUGGCUGUGAGGAGAUUGUUGUUGGUGGCACGCUAGGAGCACCUUGAAAUAGACCGGCAACUGGGUGACGUUGAGGGAUGAAUAUUGAGGCAAGAGAGAGGUGAUGAAGUUGCACUUUGUUACUUAGAUCCUUUGAGAAAUAAAGUUGUAGGCAUCCGAAUUGCCUAGCUCUUGAAAACUAUUUCUACUUAUGUGGAAGGCAAAGUGUGUCUCUAUUGCUACAUGUUCAAAUAAAAAGUUUCCUUUGAUGAAGAA